UGAAAUUUUUCAAAGUUUAAAAUUGC
This 26-nucleotide non-coding RNA is filed under the name Rattus norvegicus (Norway rat). Lineage: Eukaryota; Metazoa; Chordata; Mammalia; Rodentia; Muridae. The record is from RNAcentral.